GUGGAUGCCAGGAGGAGUGAUGGUCGGCAGUGCUCCAAACUGCGGCCCCAGCAGGGGCCCCGGGGAGGAGAGGGAAGGGGUGGAGAGGCAGGCAGGAGAGGCUGUCCUUGGAAUUCUGUGGAGUCAUGUUUUAGUGCAUGGGAUGUCAAUAGAAUGUUCACGUCUAAUUUUGAGCAUAUCCCCAGGCACGGUUUGUCUUGCUUCAGUUAUUUUACAAACCAGCUUGCAGUAUGGGUAGUGGCUAAGAGCACAGACUCUGGAGCCAGAGUGCCUACAUGUGCCCCAAAUGGGCCAGGCUCCAUGCCAGGCUGGGAGGACCCCCAAAGAAUAAGGCAGGGCUCCCAGCUUUGAGCAGAGGCCCGUUUGCGGGCUAACAGCUAUAUUACCAUGUGGUAAGAGGUGUGUGGACAACAGACCCGUGCUCUGAAUUUCCUUCAGGAGUUAGCUGGGGAAACAUUUUGCGACUUAGCACUUAGAAAGGCCAUUACCACGGUGGUGAGGAUCUCGGGCUCUGGGGUCACACCGCAUGACCUUGACUAAGCGCUUCACCUGGCAUCGCCUCCUUUUCCCCACCUGCAAAAAGAGAGUGAUGUCAUGCACUCGGGCUGUCAUUGUGAGGGCGGAGAGACCUAACCGUGACGAAUCAACCGUGGCUACGUGCGAACCCUCAACGAACGUCUGCUGUAGCCGGAGUGAUGAUCUGACAAAAGCAGGGGAUGUUCCAUCUAUCUGAGGAGCCCAUGAAGACUCCAAGACCCCAUCCCCCAGAGCAGGAGGACUACUGUGCUUCCACAGCUGGAAUGAGGCACUUCAAAUCUCUCAGGUACAAGUCUGUAGCAAGCAAAGAGGAGUAAUAGGAAAUAACACUCACUGCAGACUGGAUUGUAAGUUCUGGUUUCCCAUCAAAGAGAACCAAAUCAAAGCUAAGGGAGUGCUUGUUUUAGGGUAGAAUGCUUUUUGUUUGCUUGUUUUUAAAUUGUUUAUUUUGAGAGAGAGACAGAGACAGAGACAGAGAUCGUGUGCACACACGAGCAGAGGAGGGGCAGAGAGAGAGGUGGAGAGAGAGGAUCCCAAGCAGGCUCCAUGCUGUUGGCGCGCAUAGACCAACAUGGGGCACAAUCCUGUGAACCAUGAGACCGUUACCUGAGCCAAGGUCAAAAGCCAGACUCUCAACCAACUGAGCCACCCAGAUGCCCCUAGGGUAGAAUUGUUAAGCAUUAGAUGAAAAUUGAGAAAAGUAUAUAUCCCCUGUCAAAGCUCUAUUUCACUCACGGGGCACCUGGGUGGCUCAGUCGGUUGAGCAUCUGACUUCGGCUCAGGUCAUGAGCUCACAGUCUGUGGGUUCGGGCCCCGCGUCGGGCUCUGUGCUGACAGCUCAGAGCCUGGAGCCUGUUUCCAAUCCUGUGCCUCCCUCUCUCUCUGCCCCUCCCCCAGUCUCACUUUGUUUCACUCUCUCAAAAAUAAAAAAAAAUAAAAUAAAUAAAAAAAGCUCUAUUUCACUCUUAAGCUAGCUGUGUUACUUUGGUCAAGUUAUUCCACACCUCAGGAGGGACAGAAUUUGCAGUGAGUUUAGCCACACCACCUGCCUCAAAAACUAACCGAAACAGUCCUCCUCCCCAGAGGAACAGAAUAGAAUUCUGAGAAUCCACAAUUUAUCAUUCACAAUGUCCAGCACCCUCUCCAAGAUGGAUUUAUAUAAAAAGAAUCUGCAAUACGUGACCUAUCUCAAAAGAAAAGAUAAGCAGCAGAGAUCAAUACCAUUCCAUAAAUUAGAAUUAGUAAAGAGGGGCGCCUGGGUGGCUGAGUGUGGAGCCUGCUUAAGAUUCUUUCUUUCUCUCUCUCUUUCUCCCUCCCUCUGCUCCUCUCCCCCACUCUCUCUCUCUCUCUUUUUCUAAAACAAACAACAAAACAAAACAAAACAAAACAAAACAAAAUGGGGCGCCUGGGUGGCUCAGUCGGUUGAGCAUCUGACUUCAGCUCAGGUCAUGAUCUCAUGGUCUGUGAGUUCGAGCCCUCGAUCGGUGUCUGUGCUAACAGCUCAGAGCCUGAAGCGUGCUUCACAUUCUGUGUCUCCCUCUCUCUCUGCCCCUUCCCUGCUUGUGCUCUCUCUCUCUCUCUCUCUC
Neofelis nebulosa (Clouded leopard) is the source of this 2123-nucleotide long non-coding RNA. RefSeq lists it as uncharacterized. The record is from RefSeq and is a predicted model, not a curated record. The transcript is spliced from 2 exons. NCBI's taxonomy places the organism in Eukaryota, Metazoa, Chordata, Mammalia, Carnivora, Felidae.